This 616-nucleotide ribosomal RNA is filed under the name uncultured Actinomycetes bacterium. RNAcentral describes it as "bacterial SSU rRNA". It matches the Rfam family "Bacterial small subunit ribosomal RNA", at positions 246 to 863 of the family's 1533-position model. The record is from RNAcentral. Lineage: Bacteria; Bacillati; Actinomycetota; Actinomycetes.
UUGUUGGUGGGGUAACGGCCUACCAAGGCGAUGGCGGGUAGCUGGUCUGAGAGGACGACCAGUCACACUGGGACUGAGAUACUGCCCAGACUCCUACGGGAGGCUGCAGUCGAGAAUCUUCCGCAAUGGGCGAAAGCCUGACGGAGCGACACCGCGUGCAGGAUGAAGGCCUUCGGGUUGUAAACUGCUGUCACGCCAUAGGAAUUCCCUGCUAGACAGGGUUGACCAAAGCGAGAGGAAGCACCGGCUAACUCCGUGCCAGCAGCCGCGGUAAUACGGAGGGUGCAAACGUUGUUCGGAAUCACUGGGCAUAAAGAGCACGUAGGCGGUCUAUUUGGUCGGAUGUGAAAGCCCCCGGCUCAACCGGGGAACUGCAUUCGAUACCGAUAGACUCGAGGAUGGUCGGGGUGAGUGGAACUCCAGGUGGAGCGGUGAAAUGCGUAGAUAUCUGGAGGAACACCGGUGGCGAAAGCGGCUCACUGGACCAUUUCUGACGCUGAGGUGCGAAAGCUAGGGUAGCGAACGGGAUUAGAUACCCCGGUAGUCCUAGCCGUAAACGAUGGGCACUAGGCAAGGGGAAUGCCUAUGGUUUUCCUUGCCGUAGCAAAUGUGUUAA